RNAcentral lists this transfer RNA (66 nucleotides) under Cladiucha magnoliae. Its description in RNAcentral is "tRNA-Val". The record is from RNAcentral. Lineage: Eukaryota; Metazoa; Arthropoda; Insecta; Hymenoptera; Tenthredinidae.
CAAAUUAAUUUUUAUAAAAUAUUUUAUUUACAAUAAGAUAUAAGUUGUUAAAUCAACUUAAUUUGA